UUGAUGAGAGUGGGCUGCCGG
RNAcentral lists this unclassified non-coding RNA (21 nucleotides) under Chlamydomonas reinhardtii. Its description in RNAcentral is "small RNA Cre_3920". Lineage: Eukaryota; Viridiplantae; Chlorophyta; Chlorophyceae; Chlamydomonadales; Chlamydomonadaceae. The record is from RNAcentral.